This 465-nucleotide ribosomal RNA is filed under the name uncultured bacterium. RNAcentral describes it as "partial 16S ribosomal RNA". It matches the Rfam family "Bacterial small subunit ribosomal RNA", at positions 338 to 795 of the family's 1533-position model. The record is from RNAcentral.
CCUACGGGUGGCAGCAGUGGGGAAUCUUCCACAAUGGGCGGAAGCCUGAUGGAGCAACGCCGCGUGGGUGAAGAAGGUCUUCGGAUCGUAAAGCCCUGUUGUUAGAGAAGAAAAUGCGUGAGAGUAACUGUUCACGUUUCGACGAUAUCUAACCAGAAGGCGCCGGCUAACUACGUGCCAGCAGCCGCGGUAAUACGAAGGUGGCAAGCGUUAUCCGGAUUGAUUGGGCGUAAGGGGAGCGAGGGCGGUCUUUCAAGUCUGAUGUGAAAGCCCUCGGCUUAACCGGAGGAGUGCAUUGGAAACUGUGAGACUGGAGUGCAGAAGAGGAGAGUGGAACUCCAGGUGUAGCGGUGAAAUGCGUAGAUAUAUGGAAGAACACCAGUGGCGAAAGCGGCUUGCUGGGCUGUAACUGACGCUGAGGUUCGAAAGCGUGGGUAGCAAACAGGAUUAGAUACCCGAGUAGUC